This 700-nucleotide ribosomal RNA is filed under the name uncultured Alphaproteobacteria bacterium. RNAcentral's name for it is "bacterial SSU rRNA". It matches the Rfam family "Bacterial small subunit ribosomal RNA", at positions 92 to 827 of the family's 1533-position model. Lineage: Bacteria; Pseudomonadati; Pseudomonadota; Alphaproteobacteria. The record is from RNAcentral.
CUAGCGGCGGACGGGUUAGUAACGCGUGGGAACGUACCCUUUUCUACGGAAUAGCCUCGGGAAACUGAGAGUAAUACCGUAUACGCCCUUUGGGGGAAAGAUUUAUCGGAGAAGGAUCGGCCCGCGUUAGAUUAGAUAGUUGGUGGGGUAAUGGCCUACCAAGUCUACGAUCUAUAGCUGGUUUGAGAGGAUGAUCAGCAACACUGGGACUGAGACACGGCCCAGACUCCUACGGGAGGCAGCAGUGGGGAAUCUUAGACAAUGGGCGCAAGCCUGAUCUAGCCAUGCCGCGUGAGUGAUGAAGGCCUUAGGGUCGUAAAGCUCUUUCGCCUGUGAAGAUAAUGACUGUAGCAGGUAAAGAAACCCCGGCUAACUCCGUGCCAGCAGCCGCGGUAAUACGGAGGGGGUUAGCGUUGUUCGGAAUUACUGGGCGUAAAGCGCGCGUAGGCGGACAUUUAAGUCAGAGGUGAAAUCCCAGGGCUCAACCCUGGAACUGCCUUUGAUACUGGGUGUCUCGAGUUCGAGAGAGGUGAGUGGAAUUCCGAGUGUAGAGGUGAAAUUCGUAGAUAUUCGGAGGAACACCAGUGGCGAAGGCGGCUCACUGGCUCGAUACUGACGCUGAGGUGCGGAAGUGUGGGGAGCAAACAGGAUUAGAUACCCUGGUAGUCCACACCGUAAACGAUGAAUGCCAGUCGUCGGG